This 253-nucleotide ribosomal RNA is filed under the name uncultured bacterium. RNAcentral describes it as "partial 16S ribosomal RNA". It matches the Rfam family "Bacterial small subunit ribosomal RNA", at positions 524 to 776 of the family's 1533-position model. The record is from RNAcentral.
UACAGAGGGGGCGAGCGUUGUUCGGAAUUACUGGGCGUAAAGGGCGCGUAGGCGGCCCGCUAAGUCGAACGUGAAAUCCCCAGGCUCAACCUGGGAACUGCGUCCGAUACUGGCAGGCUUGAAUCCGGGAGAGGGAUGUGGAAUUCCAGGUGUAGCGGUGAAAUGCGUAGAUAUCUGGAAGAACACCGGUGGCGAAGGCGGCUCGCUGGGCCAGUUCUGACACUCAUCCGCGAAAGCGUGGGGAGCAAACAGG